Molecule: microRNA, 24 nt
Filed under: Strongylocentrotus purpuratus (purple sea urchin)
Lineage: Eukaryota; Metazoa; Echinodermata; Echinoidea; Camarodonta; Strongylocentrotidae
Description: spu-miR-4855
Source: miRBase by way of RNAcentral
UGUGUAACAUCUCAUUCAGUGGGU